GCCGGUUAUGGUGGUGCAUACCUGUAAUCCCAGCAGCUCUGGAGGCUGAGGCAGGAGGAUUGUUCAAAACCAGGCUUAGCAAAAGGCAGGUGCUAAGCAACUCAGUGAGACCCUGUCUCUA
Molecule: small RNA, 121 nt
Filed under: Marmota monax (woodchuck)
Lineage: Eukaryota; Metazoa; Chordata; Mammalia; Rodentia; Sciuridae
Source: RNAcentral